Molecule: transfer RNA, 66 nt
Filed under: Pagastia sp.
Lineage: Eukaryota; Metazoa; Arthropoda; Insecta; Diptera; Chironomidae
Description: tRNA-Cys
Source: RNAcentral
GGCUUUAUAGUCACUAAUGAUAUUAGACUGCAAUUCUAAAGGAGUAAAUAAUAAUUACUAAGGCUU